This 58-nucleotide non-coding RNA is filed under the name Helianthus annuus (common sunflower). Lineage: Eukaryota; Viridiplantae; Streptophyta; Magnoliopsida; Asterales; Asteraceae. The record is from RNAcentral.
CACUGGUCGAGAGCUGUUGUCGCUCUCCUGAUGAGUCCAAGGCAGGACGAAACCAGUG